UACGAAGGGGGCUAGCGUUGCUCGGAAUCACUGGGCGUAAAGCGCACGUAGGCGGAUUCUUAAGUCGGGGGUGAAAGCCUGUGGCUCAACCACAGAAAUGCCUUCGAUACUGUAGAGCUUGAGACCGGAAGAGGUAAGUGGAACUGCGAGUGUAGAGGUGAAAUUCGUAGAUAUUCGCAAGAACACCAGUGGCGAAGGCGGCUUACUGGUCCGGUUCUGACGCUGAGGCGCGAAAGCGUGGGGAGCAAACAGG
Molecule: ribosomal RNA, 253 nt
Filed under: uncultured bacterium
Lineage: Bacteria
Description: partial 16S ribosomal RNA
Rfam family: Bacterial small subunit ribosomal RNA
Source: RNAcentral